CGAGGCGGAAGAUGACCAGUGAUUGGACUAGAAGCUGAGCUGCUUCCCUUGUGAGGAAAGGCCGGAUCCUGCGGAUGUUGUAAAGUGCAAAUUUGCAGGAUCGGGCCACCGCAGUGAUGUUUGCGGUGCAGCAUAACUGAUUGUCCAGUACCACACCGAGGUUUCUGGCAGUUGGAGAAGGAGAUACAGUGAUGUUCUCAAGUCCAUGUGUGGUCAAUCUUUCCCUGGCAUUAGGAGGAGCUCACUCUUGCUGAGGUUAAGCCUCAGGUGAUGGGCAGUUGUCCAAGUGCUGACGUCUGCCAGACAUUCAGAUAUGUGUGUUGCUAUCAGGGCUUUGUCAGAUGAGUUGCGAUUCGUCAGGUAGGAUGUGAACCAGGGAAGGGCAGAUUCAGCAAUGCCAAGUUCAGCGAGAGUGGCAAGGAGGAUCUGGUGGUACACCAUGUCAAAUGCUGUGGACAGGUCGAGGAGAAUGAGAACCGAUGAGAGGGACGAGGCUCUGGCAGCACGGAGGGACUCUGUGCUCGAAGGCACGCCCCCUUUUUGUCUUCAUCUUUCGAAAAUCUGAGAGUAGACCGAGAGCAGUGAUGAGGCUCUCAACAAAAUGGCUGCGCCCGUGAAGAGAUUU
Long non-coding RNA from Gadus macrocephalus (Pacific cod), 625 nucleotides. RefSeq lists it as uncharacterized. The record is from RefSeq and is a predicted model, not a curated record. The transcript has 2 exons. NCBI's taxonomy places the organism in Eukaryota, Metazoa, Chordata, Actinopteri, Gadiformes, Gadidae.